UUACACCUGAAAGAUGUCUGUUCAACCCAGAUCGUCUUGAUGCCAAACUCUAGCCCAACCGACAUGACCUGGAAUAACAAAGUCACUCCCCACCCUAAACCAAAGCAUUUACUAGUCCCAGUAUAGGCGAUAGAAAAGACACCACAUGGCGCGAUAGAGACCACGUACCGUAAGGGAAAGAUGAAAUAGUAGUGAAAUAAUCUAAGCUAAAAAUAGCAAAGAUCAACCCUUGUACCUUUUGCAUAAUGGUCUAGCAAGAAAAACCAAGCAAAAUGAAUUUAAGUUUGCCACCCCGAAACCCAAGCGAGCUACUUGCGAGCAGCUAAUAUGAGCGAACCCGUCUCUGUUGCAAAAGAGUGGGACGACUCGCUAGUAGAGGUGAAAAGCCAAUCGAGCUGGGUGAUAGCUGGUUGCCUGUGAAACGAAUCUCAGUUCACUCUUAAUUCUUCUCCAAGGAAACUCACAAACCCCAAUGAAGCGAAUUAAGGGCUAUUUAAAGGAGGUACAGCUCCUUUAAAAAAGAAUACAAUCUCCACGAGCGGAUAAGUACCCCCCC
RNAcentral lists this ribosomal RNA (556 nucleotides) under Periparus ater eckodedicatus. RNAcentral's name for it is "partial 16S ribosomal RNA". It matches the Rfam family "Bacterial large subunit ribosomal RNA", at positions 432 to 1052 of the family's 2925-position model. Lineage: Eukaryota; Metazoa; Chordata; Aves; Passeriformes; Paridae. The record is from RNAcentral.